CCUGGAGAUAGCUGGUUCUCUCCGAAAUAGCUUUAGGGCUAGCCUCAAGUGAUGAUUAUUGGAGGUAGAGCACUGUUUGGACGAGGGGCCCCUCUCGGGUUACCGAAUUCAGACAAACUCCGAAUGCCAAUUAAUUUAACUUGGGAGUCAGAACAUGGGUGAUAAGGUCCGUGUUCGAAAGGGAAACAGCCCAGACCACCAGCUAAGGUCCCAAAAUAUAUGUUAAGUGGAAAAGGAUGUGGCGUUGCCCAGACAACUAGGAUGUUGGCUUAGAAGCAGCCAUCAUUUAAAGAGUGCGUAAUAGCUCACUAGUCGAGUGACACUGCGCCGAAAAUGUACCGGGGCUAAACAUAUUACCGAAGCUGUGGAUUGUCCUUUGGACAAUGGUAGGAGAGCGUUCUAAGGGCGUUGAAGCAUGAUCGUAAGGACAUGUGGAGCGCUUAGAAGUGAGAAUGCCGGUGUGAGUAGCGAAAGACGGGUGAGAAUCCCGUCCACCGAUUGACUAAGGUUUCCAGAGGAAGGCUCGUCCGCUCUGGGUUAGUCGGGUCCUAAGCUGAGGCCGACAGGCGUAGGCGAUGGAUAACAGGUUGAUAUUCCUGUACCACCUAUAAUCGUUUUAAUCGAUGGGGGGACGCAGUAGGAUAGGCGAAGCGUGCGAUUGGAUUGCACGUCUAAGCAGUAAGGCUGAGUAUUAGGCAAAUCCGGUACUCGUUAAGGCUGAGCUGUGAUGGGGAGAAGACAUUGAGUCUUCGAGUCGUUGAUUUCACACUGCCGAGAAAAGCCUCUAGAUAGAAAAUAGGUGCCCGUACCGCAAACCGACACAGGUAGUCAAGAUGAGAAUUCUAAGGUGAGCGAGCGAACUCUCGUUAAGGAACUCGGCAAAAUGACCCCGUAACUUCGGGAGAAGGGGUGCUCUUUAGGGUUAACGCCCAGAAGAGCCGCAGUGAAUAGGCCCAAGCGACUGUUUAUCAAAAACACAGGUCUCUGCUAAACCGUAAGGUGAUGUAUAGGGGCUGACGCCUGCCCGGUGCUGGAAGGUUAAGAGGAGUGGUUAGCUUCUGCGAAGCUACGAAUCGAAGCCCCAGUAAACGGCGGCCGUAACUAUAACGGUCCUAAGGUAGCGAAAUUCCUUGUCGGGUAAGUUCCGACCCGCACGAAAGGCGUAACGAUUUGGGCACUGUCUCAACGAGAGACUCGGUGAAAUCAUAGUACCUGUGAAGAUGCAGGUUACCCGCGACAGGACGGAAAGACCCCGUGGAGCUUUACUGUAGCCUGAUAUUGAAAUUCGGCACAGCUUGUACAGGAUAGGUAGGAGCCUUUGAAACGUGAGCGCUAGCUUACGUGGAGGCGCUGGUGGGAUACUACCCUAGCUGUGUUGGCUUUCUAACCCGCACCACUUAUCGUGGUGGGAGACAGUGUCAAGCGGGCAGUUUGACUGGGGCGGUCGCCUCCUAAAAGGUAACGGAGGCGCUCAAAGGUUCCCUCAGAAUGGUUGGAAAUCAUUCAUAGAGUGUAAAGGCAUAAGGGAGCUUGACUGCGAGACCUACAAGUCGAGCAGGGUCGAAAGACGGACUUAGUGAUCCGGUGGUUCCGCAUGGAAGGGCCAUCGCUCAACGGAUAAAAGCUACCCCGGGGAUAACAGGCUUAUCUCCCCCAAGAGUUCACAUCGACGGGGAGGUUUGGCACCUCGAUGUCGGCUCAUCGCAUCCUGGGGCUGUAGUCGGUCCCAAGGGUUGGGCUGUUCGCCCAUUAAAGCGGUACGCGAGCUGGGUUCAGAACGUCGUGAGACAGUUCGGUCCCUAUCCGUCGUGGG
The sequence is a ribosomal RNA, 1813 nucleotides long. It matches the Rfam family "Bacterial large subunit ribosomal RNA", at positions 838 to 2651 of the family's 2925-position model.